RNAcentral lists this long non-coding RNA (525 nucleotides) under Anas platyrhynchos platyrhynchos (common mallard). RNAcentral describes it as "lncRNA (ENSAPLG00000027606.1)". The record is from RNAcentral. Lineage: Eukaryota; Metazoa; Chordata; Aves; Anseriformes; Anatidae.
AUGGAGUCACGUCUUCCUUUGGCUACCUUUAAUCUAUACACACUGAACCCUUUCAUAAUGACUUUGUUAGAUUUUGAUCAUGACCAUUCUUGGGUACAGGAUCCUGCCCAGUCCCCUACUGCUGAUCCACAAGGUUCUUUGUCAGAGCUGCCAGCCUCGUGUGGAUAUUUCAGAGGAUUUGUCAAAUGGUGUUCAUUGUUUCUAUUAAUGCAGCUGAGUUGCACCGAGAACGUCCACUUUAAUAUUAGUCUUCUGAGUAAGUGCACAGAGGCAUUAUCCAAGCCAGAGAAGGAUCCAACCACACCCUGCAGAGCUGAGGCUGCACAUACAUGCAAAACUACUUGUGUGGAUGUGACUGCAGAGAAUUUAAUGCUAAAGACCUGGGAAAACAGAGUUGGGGUGUGCCCAGUGUGGCUUGGCAAUAACAGAUGUGGAAGUUUGAAAUUGCAUUCCAUGGUCCUGUGCCACAUUUCAUCAGCGUUUUUCCUUUGCUUUCUCCAAAGACUGGCCACAUGUGGUGUGUAG